GGUCUCGUAGCUCAGUUGGUUAGAGUAUUGGUCUUAUGAGCCGAAGGUUGCGGGUUCAAGUCUUGCCGGGACCA
Molecule: non-coding RNA, 74 nt
Organism: Manihot esculenta (cassava)
Lineage: Eukaryota; Viridiplantae; Streptophyta; Magnoliopsida; Malpighiales; Euphorbiaceae
Source: the annotation of a RefSeq genome assembly